CCUACGGGAGGCAGCAGUGAGGAAUAUUGGUCAAUGGGCUUACGCCUGAACCAGCCAAGUCGCGUGAGGGAAGACUGCCCUAUGGGUUGUAAACCUCUUUUGUCAGGGAGCAACGCCGGCUACGUGUAGCCGGACUGAGAGUACCUGAAGAAAAAGCAUCGGCUAACACCGUGCCAGCGGCCACGGUAAUACGGAGGAUGCGAGCGUUAUCCGGAUUUAUUGGGUUUAAAGGGUGCGUAGGCGGAAUGCCAAGUCAGCGGGAAAAUCGCGGGGCUCAACCGCGCUCCGCCGUUGAAACUGGCGUCCUUGAGUGGGCGAGAAGUAUGCGGAAUGCGUGGUGUAGCGGUGAAAUGCAUAGAUAUCACGAAGAACUCCGAUUGCGAAGGCAGCUUACUGGAGCCCAACUGACGCUGAAGCACGAAAGCGUGGGUAUCGAACAGGAUUAGAUACCCUAGUAGUC
RNAcentral lists this ribosomal RNA (460 nucleotides) under uncultured bacterium. RNAcentral describes it as "partial 16S ribosomal RNA". It matches the Rfam family "Bacterial small subunit ribosomal RNA", at positions 338 to 795 of the family's 1533-position model. The record is from RNAcentral.